RNAcentral lists this transfer RNA (60 nucleotides) under Nicotiana tabacum (common tobacco). RNAcentral describes it as "tRNA-Ser". It matches the Rfam family "tRNA". Rfam says of the family: Transfer RNA (tRNA) molecules are approximately 80 nucleotides in length. Their secondary structure includes four short double-helical elements and three loops (D, anti-codon, and T loops). The record is from RNAcentral. Lineage: Eukaryota; Viridiplantae; Streptophyta; Magnoliopsida; Solanales; Solanaceae. RNAcentral also lists the same sequence under 3 other names.
GCAUCCAUGGCUGAAUGGUUAAAGCGCCCAAAUUCGUAGGUUCGAUUCCUGCUGGAUGCG